Patella vulgata (common limpet) is the source of this 503-nucleotide long non-coding RNA. RefSeq lists it as uncharacterized. Lineage: Eukaryota; Metazoa; Mollusca; Gastropoda; Patellidae. The transcript has 3 exons. The record is from RefSeq and is a predicted model, not a curated record.
UCUUAUAUUAAAUUUAUUGUGCAUAGCCUCUUUAAAUUACUUUUAUGGUUUUUUUUAUUAACAGUGCGAGGAACUUGAGGUGGAAGAACCAUCUUUUAUGGACAUUGCAACCCCCGAAAAGGAAGACUUGUGUCCAACCUGACAUCCGACCAGAGUGGUGGGUCGAAAGACGGUCCAAGUUCAGAGAUCAAUAUAGAAGUAGAGGACAGGGUAGGGGUGAAUUUCUUUAAUGAUUUCUUGUUUGUCAAAGUGGAAGAAUAUGGAGUUUUCACAAUUCAAUUUUUGACGUAGUGCAAAGAAGACGGUUCAUGUAAAUGGCCCAUUUGCGACGCUGUAAAAAAGAUUGAUGACACCUACAUCCUUGGACGGGCGACCGUCAGUGUUCUAAAACGAUCUUUUAUUGUUGAAAACCAUGAAGAAUUAAAAGAGAAAAAUAUAACCUACGUCGAAAACUUUUGUUUAAGUCAAUGAGAUAUUUAGUGAAAAGGUAUAUUUAUAAAAAU